RNAcentral lists this ribosomal RNA (253 nucleotides) under uncultured bacterium. Its description in RNAcentral is "partial 16S ribosomal RNA". It matches the Rfam family "Bacterial small subunit ribosomal RNA", at positions 524 to 776 of the family's 1533-position model. The record is from RNAcentral.
UACGAAGGGGGCUAGCGUUGCUCGGAAUCACUGGGCGUAAAGCGCACGUAGGCGGAUUGCUAAGUCAGGGGUGAAAUCCUGGAGCUCAACUCCAGAACUGCCUUUGAUACUGAAGAUCUUGAGUUCGGGAGAGGUGAGUGGAACUGCGAGUGUAGAGGUGAAAUUCGUAGAUAUUAGCAGGAACACCGGUGGCGAAGGCGGCUAUCUGGACGACAACUGACGCUGAGGCGCGAAAGCGUGGGGAUCAAACAGG